GAUGAACGCUGGCGGCGUGCCUAAUACAUGCAAGUCGAGCGAACAGAUGAGGAGCUUGCUCCUCUGACGUUAGCGGCGGACGGGUGAGUAACACGUGGAUAACCUACCUAUAAGACUGGGAUAACUUCGGGAAACCGGAGCUAAUACCGGAUAAUAUAUUGAACCGCAUGGUUCAAUAGUGAAAGACGGUUUUGCUGUCACUUAUAGAUGGAUCCGCGCCGCAUUAGCUAGUUGGUAAGGUAACGGGUUACCAAGGCAACGAUGCGUAGCCGACCUGAGAGGGUGCUCGGCGACGCUGGAAUUGGGACAUGGUCCGGACUCCUACGGGAGGCAGCCGUCGGGAACCUUCCGGAAUGGGCGCAGUCCUGAAGGAGCAACGCCGCGUGAGUGAUUAAGGCCGUCGGAUCGUAAAACUCUGUUAUUAGGGAAGAACAAAUGUGUAAGUCACUAUGCACGUCUUGACGGUAACUCAUCAGAAAGGCACGGCUAACUACGUG
This 497-nucleotide ribosomal RNA is filed under the name uncultured bacterium. Its description in RNAcentral is "partial 16S ribosomal RNA". It matches the Rfam family "Bacterial small subunit ribosomal RNA", at positions 28 to 507 of the family's 1533-position model. The record is from RNAcentral.